GGCGGAGUAGCUCAGCUGGUUAGGGCAGCGGAAUCAUAAUCCGCGUGUCGGGGGUUCAAGUCCCUCCUCCGCUACCA
RNAcentral lists this transfer RNA (77 nucleotides) under Thalassospira sp. RNAcentral describes it as "tRNA-Met". It matches the Rfam family "tRNA". From Rfam's summary of the family: Transfer RNA (tRNA) molecules are approximately 80 nucleotides in length. Their secondary structure includes four short double-helical elements and three loops (D, anti-codon, and T loops). Lineage: Bacteria; Pseudomonadati; Pseudomonadota; Alphaproteobacteria; Rhodospirillales; Thalassospiraceae. The record is from RNAcentral.